This 515-nucleotide long non-coding RNA is filed under the name Androctonus crassicauda. Lineage: Eukaryota; Metazoa; Arthropoda; Arachnida; Scorpiones; Buthidae. The record is from RNAcentral.
GGGCAUUACUCCAUCUCGUUGAAAUUUAAGAGGAAACUGGAGAAACUUUCUGGCCAAAAUUCAUCUUUAACAGAAGAAAUACACUAUUCAACCAUAUCAGGAAUGAAAAGGAUAAGAUUAGCGACACAUAUUUCCCUGGAGUAUAUCAGAUCCCUUUCUACGAUAACGACACAAAUACCAGCAUGAACUGUAUCAGUUAUACAGCACAUUCCCUAAAGAGGCGGAUCCAGGAACAUAAAAAAGAUGUAGAGAAUAAAGCUACUACUACUGCUUUAGCGCAACAUGCACUUACAUCCAACUUAGAGAUUGAUUGGACUAACAGUAAAUUGUUGCAUAGAGAACAAGACUCUAAGAGAGGAAGGAUUCCGGAAACGAUGGCGAUCUAUACCAACUGAAGCAAGAGAUGUAAACCAAUUAAUAAGUUGGAUCCUGCUGCAAUAAGUAAUGCUUGGAAGUGGUGUAAUAUUUCCAGAAAUUAACGAAUAGUUAAGCAUGAGCUUUUGAGAAUACUCGGA